This 339-nucleotide long non-coding RNA is filed under the name Hordeum vulgare. RNAcentral describes it as "long non-coding RNA (HVUL_LNC014618)". Lineage: Eukaryota; Viridiplantae; Streptophyta; Magnoliopsida; Poales; Poaceae. The record is from RNAcentral.
GAUAGAGAAAAACACAACUGUGGCAAUUGGGUGGUAACAAAUCUAGCGGGGUAAAUGCACGGGUCACCAUGCUAGUUACUACAAAGAAACAAAAAUGAAUGGAUAGGAAUUUUGUGAGAAGUCUUAUCUUGCGAGACCUGAGAUGAAUGGUGAGAACUCUCAUCGUAGAAGCUGUAUAUAAGAGUAGCACUUUUGUUAGUCGCUUGUUCCCACGGCCAAUAGCUUGUUGAGAAUGAGCACCUUAGCGGCGGUCGGCUGGACCCUGGCCGGUGGACGACGCAGCGUGCGUUGCUCAAUAGGCGGCGCCGACGAGCGCAAGGAACUCUUCGGCCGCGUCGC